AGCUCUGCAAAAUCUUUCCGUUUUCUCUACUUCUUCAAGUGAACGCAAAGGAAAUGAGACUAAAGAAAUGAUGGAGAUGUGACGAGAACAAAAGGAGGAGGACCAUGAAUGAGCACUUAUUUAUGUUUUUGUACCCAAAAUGAUGAGCGCAUCAGAAGAAAAAAAAAGUUGCUUUGAAUGGCAUUCUUGAAGUAUUGGAAAGGCUCUGAAAUGAAAAGCAUGCCCAAAUGGAAGCAAGGGAAGAAAGACAUGGAAAGCAAAGUGAAUCAAUUAUUGCCUUCAGCCUUGAGAAAUUAAUAUAUUUAACUUGUAACUUCACAAGUGUUGAGGUGGUUUCACUUUUCUCUGAACACUGAAAGAACAUUGAAAGCAAGUUGAUAGAAGAUAGUAAAGGAAGGACCUGGAGCACAUAUUGUUCAAAAAGUAAAAUAGAAGUGAAAAAUUUCAGAAAAGAGGCACUCAAGAUAUUCUGAGUACAGGGACCAUGUUUUCCUAAGAAAGAUUUUAAAAAUUUAAAAGAGUAUUUUGAUAUAGAAUAAGAGAUGUGUUGUGAAAAAUGUUGCAAUGGCCUAAGAGGUUCAAUGGGAAGAUUGACCUUGCAGGGAACUUCUCUAGUGUGUGUUGAGAAAGUCAUAGCUCAGAACAGAAUUCAAUUUACAUUGAUAAAUAGCUUGUGCAGGUGCAGAAGGGCAUUUCUAAGGUAAUGAGGUAAAACUAUUAAUGGAAUAUGUUUUAGAGAAAGUCUUGACAGGGAAUAGAAAGCAGUCACACAGGAAAAGCAGAGAAAUUUAGCUGCUUGGGAAGUUUAUGCUGCAACUGGACAGAGCGCUGGGAUCUGUGAUAGAGUGUUCUGUUUCAAUUACAAAGAUGAGCCAAAAGAGCUUCUAGCCUUUCCCAUCUUUGUGUUUUAUGAGUACAGGUGUUACAGGCAUGCAAAGUAGCAUAUCUUAAUUGUCAUCUCCAAAUCAGACCAGUUCCACUUGUGUUUGGUUUAGCAUACUGUAUUUUGAUGAAGUUUUCAUCUCAUUUCCCUUGAGGACUGCAGUAGCAUUUCCACUCACUCAAGAAGUCAAGCUCUUGUACUGUUUAAUUUACUUUGGGUGUAGAGAAUUUAAAGUGUGAAUUAAAACAAUGGAAACAUCUUUGUGGCACAGCACAGGAGAGCAAACCUAGAACAGUACAAAUAGGUAUUGACUGCCAGGGCUUUACUCAUACUCCAGUAAACUUUGCUCUGGGAAGAAGGAGCUGCACAAAGAGCUGCUGGAGCCUACAAACUUCAAAGCGAAUGACAUGGAAGUGCAAAUCAAUAGAGAAACCACAUGAAACUUUUCAAGGGUAUUUGAUGCCUUCAUGUGUUCAUUUUGAAAUGUUACCUCACAAAUUCCCACUAACCCUAUCUUUCUUGAACUCACCAGCUAUUUCCUGAAAAAAAACCCUAGCAGCUCCUAGGGAAUCAUAAUUUUAAUGCUUGGAGAAUAUGAAAGCUUCACUUGAGCUUCAUUUUUCAGUAUCAUGCUUUCUGUGGAGAAAAGGUGCAAAACUUCCCCCUAUUGCCUGCAUUAUUCCAGUGCAGUCCUGCUGAAUCCCUCCUCCAGAACUGGGCUGGAGGAGACAGAAAGCAUAUAUGAUCUAUUGCAUUAUUUUGCUGAAGCGUACAUUUUUUUCAAGAAAUGUUCACCUUGCCUUUUCACAUCAGUAACAUUCUUGGUAAAUUGUUGGAAUUUAAUUUUUGCUAUUACUUGUUCUGGUUGGUACCCUCAUGUAGAUAUGGGGGUCUUCAGACUGGAUGUCAGCUGGUGCUUGCCUGUUCUCUAGCUUUGUACUUUGCUAAAAGUUGAAAAUAGGGUUGUUUCCCAGCAGUCAGUAAUGAUGAGAUGUGAUUUGUUGAAGUUGUAAUACUUUCAUGCAGGUCAGACCUUGGAGUACUUAGUCAAAUCACCUGAAGGAAGACGAUUUCUACUUCUUAUUACGAAAUAAUUUCUUUCCUCUGAUAUAUUAGCUGAUAUACACUUGUGAUG
This is a non-coding RNA of Zonotrichia albicollis (white-throated sparrow), 2018 nucleotides long. Lineage: Eukaryota; Metazoa; Chordata; Aves; Passeriformes; Passerellidae. The record is from RefSeq and is a predicted model, not a curated record.